RNAcentral lists this long non-coding RNA (1351 nucleotides) under Capsella rubella. RNAcentral's name for it is "long non-coding RNA (CRUB_LNC002313)". The record is from RNAcentral. Lineage: Eukaryota; Viridiplantae; Streptophyta; Magnoliopsida; Brassicales; Brassicaceae.
UGAGUGAUGAAGACCCACUUGGAAAGAUCCAAUCACUUGACACGCACGUAUACAUGAAAGCUUUCUUAAAACUAAUUCGAGAUUAUGAGAUGAUAUAAAGUAGACAUAACAGUAUUAUUUGGCUUCCUUGAUUCUCAAUUAACCAAUCCAUAAUUUAUAUUAUAUAUAUUCUCACUACAGGAAAUAAGCAAUCAUCGUUUUGAGGGGGAAGUACCUUCGCCGGAUCAGCCGGUGACUGUGUGGCUUCUCCCUCCUCCGUUUGGUUUCUUGUAGAGCUUCACAGCGGCGGACGCUUAGCAGAUCUUGAGCUUCAGAGAUGGGCGAGUUCUUUUCUCCGACAACGGUGGUGGGGUUCUUCUUCACGGAUGUAGCGGUGGUUCCAUUUGGGCGGGGGAGAAUCGGAUGCGUUAGACACCGGUUUGAAGACGCUGGUGGUUGUAUCCGACUCUCUCCAUGGCUCGCCCGUCCUUCUGGUCGCUCCGGCUACGGCGGAAGUCGGUGAAGGAGAGGUGGGUUUGUUGUUUUGAUUCGAUGGUUUACGGAGGAUCUCUUGAUCCUUUGACGGCCGCUGCGGAUUCCGGGUCAGGAGUGUUUGUCUGAGCCAUCAACCUCCGGAUCUGCCGUCUGUGGUUUCCAUCGGUCCGGCUGAGAAGUUUUCUGCUCAAGAGAACUCGGGGCUUUUGGUUUUGGUUGGUGGGGUUAGAUUCCCGGUGGUCGAAUUGCUAGGCGUGAGAUCCGGCUUCUCGGAACCGGUUGUUGGUCGGUUGGGUACUCCGGGAGGCGUGUAGCAGGUUGGUCGGCCAGUGGUUUUGUGUCCAUGUCGGGAACCGGAUUCUCCCUUCGGAUCUCCCCAUCCCCUUGGCUCUGCCGCGACGCCGUGCUCCUUGAAUCCGCUGGAUUUCGUACCCUGACUCUCUGCCUCCGGUUAUACAGCAAGAUCUGAGCCGUUGACCUCGUCGCCGGAAGUUUCGCCGGAAGUUUUUCCGUUUUCCUCUUUUGGGCUUCUGAAGUUUCGUUUUUGUUGUAAGUUUUUGUCCGGCCCGUUAAGGGGAUUAUCAAUAAAAUUUAAAAAAAAAAAAAAAAGAAAAGAAAUAAGCACAUUAAUAGCACACGAAAAAUGCUACUAAAGGGCUUUUGUAGCGUAUUUAUAAACGCUAUAAUACAAAGAGUUAUAGUAGACCCCCCCUAUCAUACCAUAAUUUAUGCGUUAUGGAAGAUUGAUCUAUUAUAGCGCUAGUAGUUGGCUAUUAAAUAUUUUUUGCUAGAGCUUUGUCAUUGUUAUUAUGUUUGUUGUUAUAGCUAAUAUUUUGAGCUGUAUAUUUUAAUGGCUAUUAUACAUUGCUAUACCAUC